RNAcentral lists this ribosomal RNA (494 nucleotides) under uncultured bacterium. Its description in RNAcentral is "partial 16S ribosomal RNA". It matches the Rfam family "Bacterial small subunit ribosomal RNA", at positions 28 to 507 of the family's 1533-position model. The record is from RNAcentral.
GACGAACGCUGGCGGCGUGCUUAACACAUGCAAGUCGAACGGUGAAGCGCCUUCCUUUUUGGUGGGUGGGGAUGAGUGGCGGACGGACGAGUAACACGUGAGUAACCUUCCCCCUUCUUCUGGGUAACCGCAUGAAAGUGCGGCUAAUACGGGAUAUUCUGGGGCUGUCGCUUGAUGGGUCUGGGAGAGAUUUUGUGUCGGUGGGGGAUGGGGCCGCGGCUUAUCAGCUUGUUGGUGGGGUGAUGGCCUACCAAGGCGGUGACGGGUAGCCGGCCUGAGAGGGUGGACGGCCACGCGGGGGAUGAGCCACGGCGGGGCCUCCUACGGGCGGCAGCAGUGGCGAGUAUCGCACGGGGGGAAUAAUGCUGAUGCAGCGACGCCGUGUUGGGGAAGGAGCCCGUCGGGUUGUAAACCUCUUUGGCUGGUGAACCAGUCCUGCAGCGUCUGUGGGUGGGUUGACGGUACCUGGAUAAGAAGCACCGGCUAACUACGUG